CGCGAAUACUCCGCAAUGCGGGCAACCGCGACGGGGCCACCCCGAGUGCCGGGCGAAGAGCCCGGCUUUUGCCCGGUGUAAGGAGCCGGGCGAAUAAGCGGGGGGUAAGUCUGGUGUCAGCCGCCGCGGUAAUACCAGCCCCGCGAGUGGUCAGGGUGAUUACUGGGCUUAAAGCGCCCGUAGCCGGCCCGGCAAGUCGCUCCUGAAAUCCCCGGGCUCAACCCGGGGGCCGGGGGCGAUACUGCCGG
Molecule: ribosomal RNA, 248 nt
Filed under: uncultured archaeon
Lineage: Archaea
Description: partial 16S ribosomal RNA
Rfam family: Archaeal small subunit ribosomal RNA
Source: RNAcentral